This 483-nucleotide long non-coding RNA is filed under the name Sorghum bicolor (sorghum). RNAcentral's name for it is "long non-coding RNA (SBIC_LNC008169)". The record is from RNAcentral. Lineage: Eukaryota; Viridiplantae; Streptophyta; Magnoliopsida; Poales; Poaceae.
GAAUCUUAAUUAGUGCACUCACGUUCCCUAUGGAAAAUCGAUACUCUGGAAUACUCCUGGGUGAAAGCUACAUCGGUAUCCGUGCGCUUGUGGAUUUUUCUGUUUGCGUUUAAAAUACCCAACAAGCUUUCUAGCGCCGUUGCCGGGGAACGGUAGUUGUGCUAGUUUCGAACCAAGUCGUCCGUGUAUCCUUUUUCUUUUCCUUUUUUUUUACCACACUCACCUUACCAUUUUCACCAUACCACAUGGAUUUCACUCCAAACAUUAAUGAGCAUGGAAUUUAUUUCAUAGCCACUUCGUUUACUCCAUGCUCAUAUGCAACAUCUUCCCAAUCUUUUGGUCUCUCUAACAUCACCACAUUCGAGAUCUCCAACCCCCUCUUCCUUUCUAUUUAUAAAAACUUUAAAAGGGCGGUUGUCGAUGCAUAUGUCUAUAAUAAAUAUUGCAGAUCUCAUUGAGUUGAUCUUGAUUUAGGUCAGCGUU